UACAGAGGUCUCAACCGUUGUUCGGAUUCACUGGGCGUAAAGGGUGCGUAGGUGGCCAGGUAAGUUUGAUGUGAAAGCUCGGAGCUUAACUCCGAAAUGGCAUUGAAUACUAUCUGGCUUGAGGGUCGGAGGGGAGACUGGAAUUCUCGGUGUAGCAGUGAAAUGCGUAGAUAUCGAGAGGAACACCAGUGGCGAAGGCGAGUCUCUGGACGACACCUGACACUGAGGCACGAAAGCUAGGGGAGCAAACAGG
This 253-nucleotide ribosomal RNA is filed under the name uncultured bacterium. Its description in RNAcentral is "partial 16S ribosomal RNA". It matches the Rfam family "Bacterial small subunit ribosomal RNA", at positions 524 to 776 of the family's 1533-position model. The record is from RNAcentral.